This is a long non-coding RNA of Mercurialis annua (annual mercury), 448 nucleotides long. RefSeq lists it as uncharacterized. The transcript is spliced from 4 exons. Lineage: Eukaryota; Viridiplantae; Streptophyta; Magnoliopsida; Malpighiales; Euphorbiaceae. The record is from RefSeq and is a predicted model, not a curated record.
AUCAUUGGGGACGAUUUAUUCUAUUCAAUAUUGAAUCAAAGUCUAAAUAUAAUAGGGGACCAAAUUGCUAUAAUCCCUAAUGCUGAAAUAGAAACCAAAAUGAACUGAGACUAUAAAAGUACUUCCAAAAAUUUACCAGCGACAGUUUUUUAUACCUCUACAAGAAGAAACUCUUCGGUGUAUUCAUUAGCAAAGCCAUAAAUUUCAGAAUCUUCAAAUUCAUGAUAUAUCACAACUUUGAAGAAUUGCUUGUUUAUCCAAUGGAACUCCAAAAAUCUCCACAGUUGUAAGCUUACCAAGUGUAAUCAAGGGAUAACUUGUCAUUGGACGAAAAGAUAUGGUCUAUUAUCAUGAAGAUUGCUAAUCAAAUUAAUGUUUUUUUUGUAUUGUUUAUUAUCUAGAUACAUUAUUUUGCAUUUUAAACAUUUUUAGUUUGUACUUUUUUGUA